This 304-nucleotide long non-coding RNA is filed under the name Meleagris gallopavo (turkey). RNAcentral's name for it is "lncRNA (ENSMGAG00000004234.2)". Lineage: Eukaryota; Metazoa; Chordata; Aves; Galliformes; Phasianidae. The record is from RNAcentral.
CGGCCGCGCCCCCUCGCCGAUGGCCGAAGCCUGGAGGCUGGAGGAGGACGAGGAGGAGCUGCGGGAGCUCGGCAGGAGGCACCGCCGGGCCCUGGGCUCGGCAGCAGCCAAGGACCCUUGUCAUCCAUAAGAGCAGCAAUCAAGAGAUCUUCUCGGACUUCUAGCCAUAGUGAGCAGCAGAGGGAUAGAAGGUAUGAUGCAGUUAUUUAUAUUGCAAUUGGGUGUUACUUUAAAACUUGUUAGAUUGUAUCACAGUAUUACUUUUUCUGCCUUUCUGUAGUUGUUUUGGUGUUGCUUUUUUUUU